CAAAGGUCGCGGGUUCGAUUCCCACCGUGGUCAGGCAAACUUUUCAGCUUGCCCGGUGUGGAUGCACACUCAGAGUAACAUCACAAACAUCUUCAGAACUGUUGAUGGACUUCUUUAUUUGCCACAAGAUGCAAGACUUCUGCAUAGAAUGAAAAUAAUUUACAGUGUUUCUCACAGCGAUAAGAUCUGCACGAUAAUACUAAGCGAAACCCACCUUGAUUCGGAACUGUGAAUG
Paramuricea clavata is the source of this 235-nucleotide non-coding RNA. NCBI's taxonomy places the organism in Eukaryota, Metazoa, Cnidaria, Anthozoa, Malacalcyonacea, Plexauridae. The record is from the annotation of a GenBank genome assembly.